CCUACGUGUGGCAGCCGUGGGGGAUAUUGCACAAUGGGGGGAACCCUGCUGCAGCGACGCCGCGGGGGUGAAGAAGCGCCUCGGCGCGUAAAGCCCUGUCAGCAGGGAAGAAAAUGACGGUAACUGAAGAAGAAGCCCCGGCUAACUACGUGCAAGCAGCCGCGGUAAUACGUAGGGGGCAAACGUUAUCCGGAUUUACUGGGUGUACAGGGGGCGCCGGCGGCGAUGCAAGCCAGGAGUGAAAGGCCGGGGGCCAACCCCGGGACUGCUCUUGGAACUGCGUGGCUGGAGUGCAGGGGGGGCAGGCGGAAUUCCUGGUGUAGCGGUGAAAUGCGUAGAUAUCAGGAGGAACACCGGUGGCGAAGGCGGCCUGCUGGACUGCAACUGACGUUGAGGCCCGAAAGCGUGGGGAGCAAACAGGAUUAGAUACCCGGGUAGUC
RNAcentral lists this ribosomal RNA (440 nucleotides) under uncultured bacterium. RNAcentral's name for it is "partial 16S ribosomal RNA". It matches the Rfam family "Bacterial small subunit ribosomal RNA", at positions 338 to 795 of the family's 1533-position model. The record is from RNAcentral.